Molecule: unclassified non-coding RNA, 235 nt
Filed under: Hevea brasiliensis (rubber tree)
Lineage: Eukaryota; Viridiplantae; Streptophyta; Magnoliopsida; Malpighiales; Euphorbiaceae
Source: RNAcentral
ACAUUCAAGGCUUUUCCCUUAAGUUUCAGCUUCCCACCCACAACAUUCUCAUAAGCCGACAUCUUGUCGAAUCAAGAAAGACUGGAACUGCAACUCCACUUCCCAAGUCUCUGACCAAAACUUAAGAUAGAAGACAAUUUCGGACGGAGACUAAUCGGUCUUCGAUUCAAUUAAUUCUUAUCUAGGCUUUGUAUUCCAUCUAAGGGCUCCGUGAUUUGUAGAAUAGAGAGCUCAG